This 550-nucleotide long non-coding RNA is filed under the name Sinocyclocheilus anshuiensis. Its description in RNAcentral is "lncRNA (ENSSANG00000042438.1)". Lineage: Eukaryota; Metazoa; Chordata; Actinopteri; Cypriniformes; Cyprinidae. The record is from RNAcentral.
CAGGUCUGGAGGAUCCACACAUUUAUGUGAUUUUACUGCAGGUUGGCUUGUGCACAACCAGACAAGUUCAAAAUCUCUGGAAGAUACUGGAGUUUAAGGUUUGGCUCUUGGGAAAUUGCUAUCAGAGACUCAAGUCACAGAACCCAAAGCGCCAACUGUGUAGCCUGAUUCAUGCGAAACCUCAAUGAUGUUUCAUUUUCAAGCACAGCGAUCACAUUCAGCUAAUGGUGGGCCAUGCCAUUCCCAGCACCCACUGAGACAACCAUCAGAUGACGAGGCAAAACAAAGCAUCAGUGAUUGUGUAUAUGACCUUUGAACUUCAACUGAGCAGCAAGGUUUUGAGAAAUUACUGCAAAAAGAGUGUGAGGACACUGAUGUUCCUGUUCCAAGAAAGGCUGUGGCCAACCCUCCAGCCUGCUUUAAUGUCAUAAUGACUGCAGCAAAUCACAACCAGAAGACAGAGGCGGUCUGCCAUUUGCCUGCUUCUUCUAUGAAUGACUGUGCACGCAAUUGUCUGUACAUUCUUAAAAAUAAAGGUUCAUGAAUGGCU